GGCCGGGUCCUACGGGUGCUCGACAGACAAACUCCGCCAGGACCGGAAGGUAGCAACGGUAGUCAUGAUCGUGCUAGCCGUGGGUAACCUGGCCACC
Molecule: signal recognition particle RNA, 97 nt
Filed under: Verrucomicrobiota bacterium
Lineage: Bacteria; Pseudomonadati; Verrucomicrobiota
Description: Verrucomicrobia bacterium signal recognition particle sRNA small type
Rfam family: Bacterial small signal recognition particle RNA
About the family: The signal recognition particle (SRP) is a universally conserved ribonucleoprotein involved in the co-translational targeting of proteins to membranes. Archaeal SRP consists of a 7S RNA and homologues of the eukaryotic SRP19 and SRP54 proteins.
Source: RNAcentral